This 500-nucleotide ribosomal RNA is filed under the name uncultured bacterium. RNAcentral's name for it is "bacterial SSU rRNA". It matches the Rfam family "Bacterial small subunit ribosomal RNA", at positions 10 to 507 of the family's 1533-position model. The record is from RNAcentral.
AGUUUGAUCCUGGCUCAGAUUGAACGCUGGCGGCAUGCCUUACACAUGCAAGUCGAACGGCAGCGGACCUUCGGGUGCCGGCGAGUGGCGAACGGGUGAGUAAUGCAUCGGAACGUGCCAUUGAGUGGGGGAUAACGUAGCGAAAGUUACGCUAAUACCGCAUAUUCUGUGAGCAGGAAAGCAGGGGACCGCAAGGCCUUGCGCUCUUUGAGCGGCCGAUGUCAGAUUAGCUAGUUGGUGAGGUAAAGGCUUACCAAGGCGACGAUCUGUAGCGGGUCUGAGAGGAUGAUCCGCCACACUGGAACUGAGACACGGUCCAGACUCCUACGGGAGGCAGCAGUGGGGAAUUUUGGACAAUGGGCGCAAGCCUGAUCCAGCCAUGCCGCGUGAGUGAAGAAGGCCUUCGGGUUGUAAAGCUCUUUCGGCCGGGAAGAAAUCGCAUGGGUUAAUACCCUGCGUGGAUGACGGUACCGGAAUAAGAAGCACCGGCUAACUACGUG